Non-coding RNA from Desmophyllum pertusum, 75 nucleotides. The record is from the annotation of a GenBank genome assembly. Lineage: Eukaryota; Metazoa; Cnidaria; Anthozoa; Scleractinia; Caryophylliidae.
AGCUUCAUAGCUCAGUUGGUAGAGCAUCGAACUAGUAACGCGGAGUCAUCAUGUGUUCAAAUCGCGUUGAAGCCU